Sphaeramia orbicularis (orbiculate cardinalfish) is the source of this 222-nucleotide long non-coding RNA. RefSeq lists it as uncharacterized. Lineage: Eukaryota; Metazoa; Chordata; Actinopteri; Kurtiformes; Apogonidae. The record is from RefSeq and is a predicted model, not a curated record. The transcript has 4 exons.
UCCAGAUGGCUUGAGUAAAAAAUUCCAACCAGUCUUUAUAUUUGGGAUUUGUGAGCCAGUCCUCAGAGAAUUUACAUCUACCUAUUAUGAGUUCUGUCAAAGAUCAUACCAGGCAUGUUAAAUAUAUCGUUCACAAACAGCGCGUGGACAUCACCUGUCCAUCGAAGCAGCAGUGAAACUUAACGACACCUGGGCGGGCCUUAAAAUGGGUUGGAGGAGGAU